UUGAAUAUACAUAGUGGAUUUUUCAUCAGUACAAAGUACAAACAAAUAUUUAAACACAAGUAGUGUUAAUCUUAGGUUUUAGACCACAUGACUCAUGCAUUAAUUGUCUUGAGAUGUGAAUGUAGAUAAAUACUGUUGAAAAGUAGUUAAGAAUAUUGAUGACUUUCUAUGGGGGAAAAUAAGCCCAAAGUGGGACAAAGGGAUAUUAAAGUAAUAAGUAAAGAAUUGUGGGCUAAAAUGGGUAUAUCUCAAUACACCCACAGAUAUAGUCUAAGGUUUAGAGUUUAGAAGUUAGAUUUAAGUCUGAGUUUUAAAUCUCCUAACUAAUUAUUUAAAGUGAUAAAAAAAAAAAAAAGACUAAUAUUAAUUGUGUGAGGAAAAGUUUGGAAGGUUAGAAAAAUUUUAAGUAACACCUCAUCUUGAGGUAUGGCAAAGCCACAGAUUGACACACUGAAACCUGGAAGUUGCCAGCUCGCAAAAGAGCUAUUGUGCUGUUGCUGUCAAGUAAAGCAGCUGCAUAUCUACACGUAUACAUCGGAGUCGAGUCGUUGCAAAAGAAUGGCAAAUUAUCUUGAGGAAGCGCAUUGAACAAUAAUCUGAAGGAAACCUGGCAGUUUAAGGGAAAUUGUAAUCCUUGCCAUUUACGGAUCUACGGAUAUAGAUCUAACGAUAUCCAAAAAAAAAAAAAAGAAUUGGAAGACUGUCCGAUGAACUACAUAGGCAAAGAUUGCUGAGGUUAUAAAAACAGCUCUUCCUUGGAUUCGACCCACCAUGCAAAAUAUGAGAAAUAGGCAACAAUCGUCAAUGGCAACAAAUUGGCGACUCACCGAUUUAUUGCUGUGGUGACAAAUCGGCAACAUCACUCCGUUCAUGUAAAUUUUGAAUAAAAAAGUUCUCAAAACUUCCGAAUCUUAUGAAUAUGGCGUCAAUAGUAUUGGCCAAAAGCAUCUAAAUUAUGCCCAAGGACAAGAUUGAAGAAAUAGGAAGCCUUACAGCGAGAAAAUUAAUUAUUUCCGAUUGUAAGUUGCGAUUUGGUAUACAAAAAAAAUAAAUGAAGUAUUAAAAAGAAUAAAAUUAUUCCAAAUAUCGCCUGAAGCGAUAAGAAAAGGACUCAUUCAGGUAAUAAGAAAACGACUCGCCCAGGCGUGUUGCCUUCGGCGGACGUUUUAGAGCGACCGGUAAUAGGAAUCGAUUCGAUUAGUAAAUACUUAUGGCCUUGUUCAUAAAAAAUAAAGUAGGUUUAAAAAGCUUUA
This is a long non-coding RNA of Rhagoletis pomonella (apple maggot), 1253 nucleotides long. RefSeq lists it as uncharacterized. The transcript has 2 exons. NCBI's taxonomy places the organism in Eukaryota, Metazoa, Arthropoda, Insecta, Diptera, Tephritidae. The record is from RefSeq and is a predicted model, not a curated record.